UAGCAUUUAUGCAAAGAGUUUUCAGCUAUGGUAUUGCGAAAGCCAUACUAAAAAUAUUAGUCGACGACCUAAAAUUCUCGCUCAUUACUAGCACUUGGAAUGGUAAAAUUUGCUUAGUAUUGUAAAUUACAGGCAACGAAGAAUUGGGAAACUGUUGAACUCUGUCGAUUGUCGGAAAGCUGAAUGCCUAACAGCUUUUAUUUUCUCAAACCGACGAAAGUGGAUUGGUCUUUGGUGUGUUGUUUAUAUGGAAUAUGUACAUUCUGUGCAAUCGUCUUUCAUUCUUCAGUGUUGACAAGUGAAAUGACAAAUAUGAGG
Molecule: non-coding RNA, 318 nt
Organism: Paramuricea clavata
Lineage: Eukaryota; Metazoa; Cnidaria; Anthozoa; Malacalcyonacea; Plexauridae
Source: the annotation of a GenBank genome assembly